RNAcentral lists this long non-coding RNA (866 nucleotides) under Laticauda laticaudata (blue-ringed sea krait). RNAcentral's name for it is "lncRNA (ENSLLTG00000014173.1)". The record is from RNAcentral. Lineage: Eukaryota; Metazoa; Chordata; Lepidosauria; Squamata; Elapidae.
UUCCCUGGUGGCGCAGUGGUUAGAAAGCAGUACUGCAGGCUAAUUCUACUCAUUGCCAGGAGUUUGAUCCUGACCGACUGGCUCAAGGUUGACUCAGCCUUCUGUCCUUCCGAGGUCGGUAAAAUGAGGACCCAGAUUGUUGGGGGCAAGAGGAUGACUCUGUAAACCCCUUAGAGAGGGCUGUGAAACUCUGUGAAGCCUAAGUGCUAUUGCUCUGGCUCUUCCCCAGGAAGCUGUAUUUCGCCCAGUCACAAAAGCCUCCGUACCACAGCCGAGUCUGCCUGGCACCCCCAGGCUGCCUCCUCAGCUCCAGCCCAGAUGGACCCAAUAAAGGAUACUUAUUCGUGCCAAGCGAGAGAGCCUCUUCCAGAUCUAGGUUCUCUAUCACGUCAGGAUUCAACCCUUGCCGGAACGGCAACUGCGGGAAGCCUGCCGUGCGUCCGCUGGUGGACACGGGCGCCAUGGUUUUCGUGGUGUUUGGGAUCCUUGGAGUCAACCGUACCCGGCACACCGACAACCACGUCAUUGGAGACAUGGUGCGUGUCCUUUCCUGGGGUCUGUGGGGCUGGAAGAGCCUCCCCAGGUCGGGUCUCGCUUACAUGUCCUCUUCGCCACUUGUAUCUCCUUUGGAAAGGGUAGCGUCAUCUAUGACAGCAGCUUCGACCUGUUCAAAGAAAUCGGCAACCUGUGCCAGAUCUGUAAGGCCAUCGCCAGCAACGCUGAGCUGGUCAAGCCAGGAGGAGCUCAGUGCCUCCCUUCAGGUUACAGUGUCUCCUCUGUCCUUCAGAUGCUACACCCAGAGUGUAAGAACCUCCCUGAGCCCAAUCUGCUUCCCGGACAGCUCUCCCACGGGAUGGUGGGGGUGA